This 620-nucleotide unclassified non-coding RNA is filed under the name Scedosporium boydii. RNAcentral describes it as "sequence contains 18S rRNA gene, ITS1, 5.8S rRNA gene, ITS2, 28S rRNA gene". The stretch from base 215 to 368 matches the Rfam family "5.8S ribosomal RNA". The record is from RNAcentral. Lineage: Eukaryota; Fungi; Ascomycota; Sordariomycetes; Microascales; Microascaceae.
AGUCGUAACAAGGUCUCCGUUGGUGAACCAGCGGAGGGAUCAUUACAGAGUUACUACUCCAAACCCAUUGUGAACCUUACCUAUGUUCUGUUGCCUCGGCGGCGUGGUCAGCGCCCCUCUGAAAAGAGGACGAUGCCCUCCCGCCGGCAGCACCAAACUCUUUGAAUUUUACAGCGGAUUACAGUUCUGAUUUGAAAACAAAAAAACAAGUUAAAACUUUCAACAACGGAUCUCUUGGUUCUGGCAUCGAUGAAGAACGCAGCGAAAUGCGAUAAGUAAUGUGAAUUGCAGAAUUCAGUGAAUCAUCGAAUCUUUGAACGCACAUUGCGCCCGGCAGUAAUCUGCCGGGCAUGCCUGUCCGAGCGUCAUUUCAACCCUCGAACCUCCGUUUCCUCAGGGAAGCUCAGGGUCGGUGUUGGGGCGCUACGGCGAGUCUUCGCGACCCUCCGUAGGCCCUGAAAUACAGUGGCGGUCCCGCCGCGGUUGCCUUCUGCGUAGUAAGUCUCUUUUGCAAGCUCGCAUUGGGUCCCGGCGGAGGCCUGCCGUCAAACCACCUAUAACUCCAGAUGGUUUGACCUCGGAUCAGGUAGGGUUACCCGCUGAACUUAAGCAUAUCAAUA